Molecule: long non-coding RNA, 420 nt
Filed under: Elaeis guineensis (African oil palm)
Lineage: Eukaryota; Viridiplantae; Streptophyta; Magnoliopsida; Arecales; Arecaceae
Description: long non-coding RNA (EGUI_LNC071321)
Source: RNAcentral
CUCUUACGAACUUCGGCUGGGGUUGUUUUAUACCCAACACCUCAAAAAUUGAACUUGAUGAAGUUUGAUCGGUAGAAGAAUUGACACAAUCUAGUAAAUCUAUUAAAUCAAAUUUGAUUAGAUCAAAUCCGAAAUCUAUUGUAGAAAUAUCUUUAAGGAGAUCCAAUAGAGUACCAUGUCAACCGGACAGAUACUAUGGUUUCUUGAUCCGAAAUGGUAAUCUAGUUGAACUCAAUGAGAACAAUGAAGAUUCAAUCACCUACAUGAUGCGAUGUAGAGGUCUAACUCUGACAAGUGGCUAGAAGCUAUAAAAUUCAAAAUAAAGUUUAUGAAGGUCAACAAUGUAUGGACAUUAAUUGAUCCACUUGAAGGGCUAAAAUUCAUAGGAUGUAAGUGGAUCUUCAAAAAGAAGAGGGGCAC